CGCAUCUACAUACUUUCAGAGUUUUCAGACUUCGGAAAGACGUAGAGGAUGGUGCUAAAAAAAUAAAAUUUCCACAAGACUCUAUCUCAAGAGUCUCAAGAGACUGAAAUACUGGGUUAUGCGGUUGGCAAUCUGGUUCCCACAUAUGCUUCAAAUCAUCAACUUUUUUAAGCUUUAAAGCCCUUAUCGGUGGGAAUGCAGUGGUAUCUUCUUGGUCACCCACGAAUCCUUCAAAUGGAAAUAGCUGCUUGAGAGAAGAAUCAAGGACUACAAGAUUUUGCAGAUUGGGAAAUCCUGGAAGUAAACUAAACAAAGGAACAAGAGAUUUGUUUGGAAAGCAACGCAAUUGAAGAACUUUCACUUGGGAAAAGAAGUCAGUUGGAAAUUGAGAUUGCAGUAUGG
This 402-nucleotide unclassified non-coding RNA is filed under the name Hevea brasiliensis (rubber tree). Lineage: Eukaryota; Viridiplantae; Streptophyta; Magnoliopsida; Malpighiales; Euphorbiaceae. The record is from RNAcentral.